This 107-nucleotide small nuclear RNA is filed under the name Crocodylus porosus (Australian saltwater crocodile). Lineage: Eukaryota; Metazoa; Chordata; Crocodylia; Crocodylidae. The record is from RNAcentral.
AUGUUUGCUUUAGCAACAUGUAUACUAAAAUUGGAACAAUAAAGAGAAGAUUAGUAAGGCCCCUGUGCAAGGAUGACAUGCCAAUUUGUAAAGCAUUCCAUAAAAAA